AGAUUGAACGCUGGCGGCAUGCCUUACACAUGCAAGUCGAACGGCAGCACGGGAGCAAUCCUGGUGGCGAGUGGCGAACGGGUGAGUAAUAUAUCGGAACGUGCCCAGUCGUGGGGGAUAACGCAGCGAAAGCUGUGCUAAUACCGCAUACGAUCUAUGGAUGAAAGGCGGGGGAUCGCAAGACCUCGCGCGAUUGGAGCGGCCGAUAUCAGAUUAGCUAGUUGGUAGGGGUAAAAGCCUACCAAGGCGACGAUCUGUAGCUGGUCUGAGAGGACGACCAGCCACACUGGAACUGAGACACGGUCCAGACU
Molecule: ribosomal RNA, 311 nt
Filed under: uncultured soil bacterium
Lineage: Bacteria
Description: bacterial SSU rRNA
Rfam family: Bacterial small subunit ribosomal RNA
Source: RNAcentral